CUUGUCGCCGAAAAUGUUCUUUUGGCGAUAUCUUUGCGUAGGCUCGACGGAUUGCCGAACCGACUUCGCCAACGCGUUUCUUUUACCCUCAAUUAGGUUUGUACGCGGUCAAUUUUACGUUAGGACUUCAAUCCUGCAAAAGUGCAUUAGCGAGGUCAGUUUCUAUAAAACCCUUUUUGAUGCAAUUUCACAAUUCAAUUCCUUCUAUUCUUUCAUAUUUCCUCUUAUUCUUUCUUUUCUUUCUUUCUUUCUUUUAUUUCCCUGCAGCUUUCUUACUUUCUUUUCUUUCUUUCUUUUCUUUCCUUGCUUUCUUUCUUUUCUUUCUUGCUUUCUUGCUUUUCUUUCCCUGCUGCCCCUGCAGGGCAGCUGCUGCUGCUGCCACUACUGCUGCUAAGCUGCUGCUGCUGCUGCUGUAGCUGCUGCACUGCUGCUACUCCAGCAGCUGCUGCUGCUACUCCAGCAGCUGCUGCUGCUGAUGCUACUGCUGCUGCUACUCCAGCAGCUGCUGCUGCUGGUACUCCAGCAGCUGCUGCUGCUGGUGCAUGCUGCUGCUGCUGCUGCUGGCAGCAGCUAGCUGAGCUGCUGCUGCUGAUGCUACAGCUGCUGCUGCUGAUGCUGCUACUCCAGCAGCUGCUGCUGCUGAUGCUACUGCUGCUUGCUGCUGCUGCUACUCCAGCAGCUGCUGCUGCUGGUGCUACUACUGCUGCUUGCUGAGCUGACCAACCUGCUGCUGCUGCUGUUGCCACUGCUGCUACAACCAGUAACAGAGGGAAAAAUGGAAAGGGAAAAGGAAAGGAGAAGAGAAAAACAAUGAAAUUACCUCUUUUCUUCUUCUCUUCUUCUUCUUCUUUUGCUCUUCCUCUCCCUCUCUCUCUCUCUACGUAUGGCAGGGUGAAGGGGGAUAAGGAUGGAGGGGGCUGCCUGGCAGGUUUAGUGGAAAUCCACUAAGCCUAGGAUAUUUACCAUUUUGCCCCUCGAGUAUUACAACUUGGCGACACGGAUCAAUCACCUUUCGCAGUUCCUUCCAAAUGUCCGAUUGAGCUCAAAUUUGACAGGCAUGUUCGGUUUUACUUAACAAGUCCAAAGAAAUUUUAACAUUUCAGUUCCGACCCCGUUUGGUCACUGCGAACUGUACCGAACUGCAAUCUUUAUCCGAUAGCUUUCGGAUCCAAUUUCUCUCUCUACGGGUGUCAGAAUAAUCUGAAACUUCAAAUAUAGCCUCAUAAAAACAUUCCUGACAUCUCUGCCAAUUUUUAUAAUUUUCUGACACUGUGCAUUUUCUGCUAAUUUCUCAGUCCCGUUCUUUACAGAAAAUUCUAAAUCUUCUGUUUUCGCUCCGAUUUCAACACGAGUCAUUCCAGACUUAUGUUUUACACCCUUAAGUCCAAUCAAAUGGUAUCUCAUACCAUUUUAUAUUACUUUGCUCACUUUAAUUCUUUUAAUCAAAGUUAGCNGAACCGCGACCCGCGCUCCCGACACUUGUCGCCGAAAAUGUUCUUUUGGCGAUAUCUUUGCGUAGGCUCGACGGAUUGCCGAACCGACUUCGCCAACGCGUUUCUUUUACCCUCAAUUAGGUUUGUCGCGGUCAAUUUUACGUUAGGACUUCAAUCCUGCAAAAGUGCAUUAGCGAGGUCAGUUUCUAUAAAACCCUUUUUGAUGCAAUUUCACAAUUCAAUUCCUUCUAUUCUUUCAUAUUUCCUCUUAUUCUUUCUUUUCUUUCUUUCUUUCUUUUCUUUCCCUGCAGCUUUCUUACUUUCUUUUCUUUCUUUCUUUUCUUUCCUUGCUUUCUUUCUUUUCUUUCUUGCUUUCUUGCUUUUCUUUCCCUGCUGCCCCUGC
RNAcentral lists this long non-coding RNA (1836 nucleotides) under Ananas comosus (pineapple). Its description in RNAcentral is "long non-coding RNA (ACOM_LNC001935)". The record is from RNAcentral. Lineage: Eukaryota; Viridiplantae; Streptophyta; Magnoliopsida; Poales; Bromeliaceae.